This 87-nucleotide transfer RNA is filed under the name Flavobacteriales bacterium. RNAcentral's name for it is "tRNA-Ser". It matches the Rfam family "tRNA". From Rfam's summary of the family: Transfer RNA (tRNA) molecules are approximately 80 nucleotides in length. Their secondary structure includes four short double-helical elements and three loops (D, anti-codon, and T loops). Lineage: Bacteria; Pseudomonadati; Bacteroidota; Flavobacteriia; Flavobacteriales. The record is from RNAcentral.
GGAGAAGUGGCCGAGUGGUUUAAGGCGCACGCCUGGAAAGUGUGUUUACUGAAAGGUAACGGGGUUCGAAUCCCUCCUUCUCCGCCA